This 274-nucleotide ribosomal RNA is filed under the name uncultured bacterium. Its description in RNAcentral is "partial 16S ribosomal RNA". It matches the Rfam family "Bacterial small subunit ribosomal RNA", at positions 523 to 796 of the family's 1533-position model. The record is from RNAcentral.
AUACCGAGGGUGCGAACGUUGUUCGGUGUCACUGGGCUUAGAGGGCGCGUAGGCGGCCAGGUUAGUGGGAGGUGAAAGCUCCGGGCUCAACCCGGAAAUUGCCUUCCAAACGGCUUGGCUUGAGGGCCGGAGGGGGAAGCGGAACGUCACGUGUAGCGGUGAAAUGCGUUGAUAUGUGACGGAACGCCGGUGGCGAAGGCGGCUUCCUGGUCGGCUUCUGACGCUGAGGCGCGAAAGCGUGGGGAGCAAACGGGAUUAGAUACCCGAGUAGUCC